GAUCAUAUUUCCUCUGCAAGAAGCCACUAUCGAUCUAUAGUGAGAAGCUGAACCAUAACUGAAACACUGCUAAGGAAGCAUGGGAUGAUGAGAGAAGACACAUUCAUCUUAGGAUGUAUUCGUUAACCAUAAGGUAGCUUAAACACUCAUCCUCAUAAUAGUACCACAAUAAUAUUUAUGAUAAAGACUUACUGUUCCCUAGACAGUGCUUG
This 212-nucleotide long non-coding RNA is filed under the name Homo sapiens (human). RNAcentral describes it as "non-protein coding lnc-MAGEB10-1:1". Lineage: Eukaryota; Metazoa; Chordata; Mammalia; Primates; Hominidae. The record is from RNAcentral.